CGGACGUUUUAGAGUGCAACACAAAGGAGUCACGCUUGCAAGAUUUCAACACUGACGGUUGGUACAGGUUUUUGUGUGUUAGCAGUGGAGUAAACCAUGGAGGUUUACGCCACUUUACACCAUGGAGGUCCUGGGAGGACAGUUUAGCGACAUGACUCCACAGGAGCUGGCGGCUCCUGUCAACACCGUAGCUGUGAGUAUGAAGACCGGAAAGGACCGAAAAUCUAGCAGCACAAGCACAGAGAUGCUAACGCUAGCGUGGAGGCUGUUAGGUACAGAGUGAAGGGGAAGGUCCUUACAUGUUUAAUAGACAUUAAAGCUUUAAUAUGAAAGGAACAACUCUUUUUAUCUAGCUGUAGUGUCACUUUUCAAGAAAAUCUCAAAUGGUCAGGUGGGAGACAUUUGAUGAGCUGACACUGAAUGACCUUUGUACCCUUCCUCAGUUGUGCACUCAGUUCUCCAACUUUUGUAAUGAUUCAGUCUGGUUUGCACAUUUCUGUGAAGGGAGUAGCAAACUCUACACUUCUAAUAUAGCAAAUACUUUAGUCUUAUACUUUAGAGUAUAUUGUUUGGUUUUCUUUUAAGAAUAUACAAGAACUAGACUGUAUUGUUAUAUUUACAUUUACCUUUGGGGCAAAAGCUUAAGCUUUUAGUCUUAUAUUAGUGGAUCCAUCUAAUUUCCGACUCAUUGUCCAAUUUGGGGUUGUGUUGGAGCCAGCUGUCAUAGGGUGAGCUCUGCUCAGAUUCCCAGAUCAGCAGAGAAAACCAUUCACACCUUUGACCAGUUUAUUAUCACUAAUUAAGUUUUUGGACUGUGGGAGGAAGUCUGAGUAUGCAGAGAGACCUCACACAGUUAUAAGGUGAACAUGCAAAAGAACAAGAGCAUGACACUAAUCACGCGUGUUCGCUCUGCUCUUUGUGUCCAGCUCCACUCAUGAAAAGAAAUGCAGAACUAAUAUUACUGUUAUAUAGGGCCAAUUCUACCUGAGGCACAACACGCUGUCAGAGGAGGACCCCAUGAUUUUUAUUUACUUAUUUUUUGCAGAGGACUGAUCCUCACUGCAGGCAUCACUGUCUGGUAUGGGAACAACACACAGGUAGAGAGGAAGGCUCUGCAAAGAGUCAUAAAGACUGCAGAGAGAUCAUAGGGACAAAACUUCCUUCCAUGAACUCUGUACACACAAUGCUGCCGAAAAAGAGCAGAGCAAAUUAUCUGGGACUCACCAUCCAGCUCACUCUCUGCUGAGACACAAAAACUAUACAAUGUGAGACACAACAGAGCGGACCGGAACAUUACACACAGAACAAGGUUUUUCAACAGCUUCUUCCCCGCCACUGUCAGACUGAUGGCAAAAUAAAACACUGGACACGUAAAAUAACACACAACACUACCUCACCUCACUUCGAAUGUACAAUGGGAUAAAUCACUGUCUGUUUAAUGUACAAUAUGCUUACUGAAACUGAUUUGAGAAACAGGUGCAAUAUUAGGUAAAAUAUUCUAAAUGUCAAAAUGUGCAAUAUUAUGUGUGAAAUACCCAGAAUGGUAUUUAUAGAGUUUUCAUGUAGUAAAUACUGUUAGUAGAUUGCUCUAUUUUUCGCUUUAUGUCUACUUUUUACUUGCUUUGUUUCCACCUCUCAAAAAUGUAACUUGUAACUUACCCACAGAACUUGUGACCUGUUCAGAAAAUAUAACCCACAGGAUUUGAGAGAAAAGGGACCAGUAAGUGCAAAAUGCAAACUUAUUUCAGGCAUUUCAGGUUUGUUCUUGCAGCACUUUCUAGAAGCACAUAUGUAGCCUAGGGUUGCUUACUGUGCCCAUUCUUAGAUGGGUCUUUAACCACAGUAAAACUACACUCAUACAUGAAGAAUACAAAACUCAAACGUCAUUCAAAACCUAGAAAGGAUACGAUGCAAGGGACAAAAAGUUGAAAGGAGGGACAUAAAGCAAUAAACUCAAAAAUAGUUUUUUGAGUUUUGAUCUUCACCUUCUUGCUGAGUGUUAUAAGAGCACUGCUGCCUCUCAUGUUUGUGCAGGACAUCUGAAGCUACAGCCAGUGUUUGGCUGGCUUAUCAUAGCACAGAGGAGGCCUCUACGUGCUAGUAGUAACCCCCUCAAACCCUCAGCCUGUUGUUUGAUACAAGCUGGUUUUUGUAAAUAAGCUCCCUGCCUUCAUAUUUACAGAUGUGACAAAUUUAAAUCACCCCCCAAAAAUAAACUGGUGUUCAAAAUGACACCUUUUCAUGCAAAUGUAGACUGGAUGCUAACUUUCUGACUGUUUAUUAAACAGAAAUGUUCAUGAUGCUCAAGUAAAUAAAACUGAUUCACAAAACUGUUAAAAAAUAAUAAUUUUGGGGAAAGAGGACUUUUCAGUCUGUUGUCAGCCUGGUUCAGUCUAAGCGUUGUUUUCCAUAAAUUGCAAGCUCAAAAAGUGCUUUGUCUCACUCCCACUUCUUGUCGCAUGUUGAAGCUCAACUUGGAACUUUGUUAAGAUCCAACCAUGCAAAAUAUUAUUUUUUGGUCAUUUUUCAAGUGGUCUUAAACUUUUGACUGGGGCUGUACAUUAAUUCUCUCCCUCUUUCAGUCACAGUCCCUGCAUUUAAAAUCCAACUCGAUAGACCGAUAGACCAGCCUUCAAACUAAGACGCGUGAUGUAUAAAAGUCUUUCUACUGAGUAAAGGACAGUUUGAGUUUCCUGCUGGCACCAUGCACUGUCUUCACAAGUUUCUUCUUUGUUUUCUACCAUGUCUACAAGGCAUCAGUGAGACAUCAAAGACAUACCUGAUUUAUCUUACGGCUGUAAACGGCACACUAACUUUAUCAUCUUCUUUUUUUUUUUAUUUACCAGAGUUUGCAACAGGAAUUAUUCAUGGAACAAAAGCUCCAGAGAACUCGAUACCCUACAUGGGAUCGGUGCAGAAUAACAAGGGUCAACAUGUCUGUGGAGAAUUCCUCAUCACGGUUGUGACCGGUUGUGAGUUAGAUUUCUUGUUCAUGAAGUUCAUCCAAAAACAAGCUUUUUCAAACUUGUGUUUAUUGAUCAAGUCACUCUAAGUUAUUGAUAAGGCAGAUGUUAUUUCGAGGGAAAAUAAAACACAAUUAAGUGCAAUAGCAUCAAAUAAAAAUGACCUUUGACCUCUCACAGCCGUUGGUUACAGCACUGCUGACAUUAACCUGCUUGUAACGAUUGCGUAAUGAGAAAUAAAGACAUCAGUUUAAAAUUGUUGACAUUUUUAAUUCCCUCUCAAUGAUUACUCACACAGUGACCGCACACACUGAUCAUCCCAAAGUAAAGAUUGAGAGAAAAUGAAAUCCAUGAAGAAUACAAAAAGUUUUUACAGAGUUUUUACAUUAAAAUAUGUUACUAUAUGUGUUACUAUUCUAUGGCUGGAUGGGGAAUAACUGAAACUGAUGGCGAACCUGUUGAUGAGCCGAUGGUGGUGGACGUGUCUGUCAUUGAACCAAAGGUCUGUAAGAAACACUGGCCUGGUCUUCCUGCCGGUGUUUCCUGUGCAGGUGGAUAUGGAACAACCAAAAGAUUCUGGCAGGUUGUUCUGUGGAUUUCUGCUCCUUGCAGUGUUCCUCAGUGGACUGAAUGGAUCAAGGUACAGUGGUAUAAACCAAACUCUGCUGAUGUUUCCUCUAUUUGUGUGUGCAUUUGUCAGAUGUUUGCAUAGCCUCUGUCUGACACUUUCUAUAACAAGCAGGAACUGUCAGCUAUUCUCAAUGAGCUGUGGAGUUUAUGCGUAAAUCACAUGACACCUGGGAUAGACUACACAAUCUCUGUUCAGGUGACAAACCUUUUCUAGUUUAUUUAGCGCCUGCUAUGUCUUGUGUUUGUACAAAGACGUGUUCUGUGUUUGAACUGCCUAAGGUAGAGCAAGCUUUGUAAGUCAGGGCAGCCUCACGGUGUAGGAUCACACCUCUCAGCCGCUCUUCUCCAAUGUUAAUGAGAACAAACUGAGAAAUGUAACCACUUUCUUUAGUGUGUACUUUCAAACACUCUGAGCUUAAACAUUCAGAUCGUGUUUGUAGUCAUCACUGUAAUAAUGGGAUUUGUGGGCUCGCAGGUUACAUGACAAUCCUGGACAACUAUGAGCGGUCUACAUUAGCAAUAAUUAACAGUAUCAAUUAAUUUUAUGCAUCUUUGUUUUUGUGCAGUGACA
This is a long non-coding RNA of Oreochromis aureus, 4164 nucleotides long. NCBI's taxonomy places the organism in Eukaryota, Metazoa, Chordata, Actinopteri, Cichliformes, Cichlidae. The record is from Ensembl.